GUGUUCACUUUAGCAGCACAUAUCCUAAAACUGGAAGAUACAGAGAAGAUUAGCAUGUUCCCUGCCUAAGGAUGACACGCAAAUUUGUGAAGUAUUCCAUAUUUUA
Sciurus carolinensis (gray squirrel) is the source of this 106-nucleotide small nuclear RNA. The record is from RefSeq and is a predicted model, not a curated record. NCBI's taxonomy places the organism in Eukaryota, Metazoa, Chordata, Mammalia, Rodentia, Sciuridae.